RNAcentral lists this ribosomal RNA (497 nucleotides) under uncultured bacterium. RNAcentral describes it as "partial 16S ribosomal RNA". It matches the Rfam family "Bacterial small subunit ribosomal RNA", at positions 28 to 507 of the family's 1533-position model. The record is from RNAcentral.
GAUGAACGCUGGCGGCGUGCCUAAUACAUGCAAGUCGAGCGAACAGAUAAGGAGCUUGCUCCUUUGACGUUAGCGGCGGACGGGUGAGUAACACGUGGGUAACCUACCUAUAAGACUGGGAUAACUUCGGGAAACCGGAGCUAAUACCGGAUAACAUUUGGAACCGCAUGGUUCUAAAGUGAAAGAUGGUUUUGCUAUCACUUAUAGAUGGACCCGCGCCGUAUUAGCUAGUUGGUAAGGUAACGGCUUACCAAGGCGACGAUACGUAGCCGACCUGAGAGGGUGAUCGGCCACACUGGAACUGAGAAACGGUCCAGACUCCUAAGGGAGGCAGCAGUAGGGAAUCUUCCGCAAUGGGCGAAAGCCUGACGGAGCAACGCCGCGUGAGUGAUGAAGGGUUUCGGCUCGUAAAACUCUGUUAUUAGGGAAGAACAAAUGUGUAAGUAACUGUGCACGUCUUGACGGUACCUAAUCAGAAAGCCACGGCUAACUACGUG